This 1053-nucleotide long non-coding RNA is filed under the name Actinidia chinensis (golden kiwifruit). RNAcentral's name for it is "long non-coding RNA (ACHI_LNC008122)". Lineage: Eukaryota; Viridiplantae; Streptophyta; Magnoliopsida; Ericales; Actinidiaceae. The record is from RNAcentral.
GCGGAUUUUCUAUACAACUACGGAAGGAUACAAUGCUCAGGUCAUUAAGCUCUGUGUUUCCAAGUUUGGAUCCCCCCAUGGCAGAGCUCAUCUUUAUUUUCAAAUAUUUGUGAACUGGUUUCAGCUCAUCAGGUUAUGCCUUCCCAUGUAAGGGUUGUUUCGAUUUAUCUGCUUCGUAUAUUCAAUUUCAGUGUCAAAAAAACUCGUAGUGCUGUCUGGUUUGAGCUUAUUGAUUUUCCAAAAUGAAUAUUUGCUUUACAUCAAAUGGUUUCAUGACAUGCGGCUGAUGAAUGUUGAGGAAAUUGCAUACUCAUAUUGUAAAAUAGGUUCACUCGACGAACUUUAAUCUGAAUUACUUGAGAUUGUCUACAUGAGUUCUCCUUCAGCUACCUCGAUUUAUAGUAGGAUUCAUAAUAAGAUGUGAUUUUAAGCUUUACUUUGGAUGUUUGGGUGACGGAAUUCAAUACACCAUCAUGUCUUAUUCCAGUGAAAUCUAUUGAGAAUUACAGUCCAAACAAAUGUUAAUCCUGUUUGGCAGCUAGAAGAUCUUCUUUCAUAUUCUCUGCCAUAUUCUUCAAAGCAGAAUCAUAAAAAUAAACAAACCCCUCUACUGGAUUCACAACAAAUGACCAAACAAUUUUAGACCCUUCUCCUUCCUAUGUCCUCUCAAAAGGUAACAACUUAAUUGUUGCCACGAACGAUUUCAAUCCAACAUUGUUAACCGAAAGCUCGUAGCUCAAGACCCCCUCACCUGGAUCUUUUCGGCAUACGAUUAUUUCUACAAGUAAUCCAAAUUCGUAAACCCAAUCAAUCUAUUCAAAAGAAAAAUCACAUAGGACAAGAAGAUAAAGUAAAUAUUCACGCACAAAUCAACAAGAAAUGACAAGAAAAGAAAACAAAGAGCUGACCUCUGGACUGUAAAUUUUCUCUUGCUUUCUUUCUAUUUUCUUUCGCUCCGAGAAAAUGUCUCGACGUUGAGAAUUCCGAAAGAAUUUCUAGCCACGUUGAUUAUAAAGAGAGCCCUAGAGUGGUAGAACUGAGAAUUGGGCUGAG